AGGAGGGAGGGGUCUGGCCUCCGCUCCCAGGAUUGUACAUCCUGACCACAAGGAAGUGACGUAUCACAGAGGCAAGGACACCUGCUGAGGAGGAAAUGUGCCCGCUUGGCUCCGCUGUGUGGGAGCGUGUGUGAAACAGUGAGAGAGGAGGAGCAGCGCAGAACUGCUGUGCAGAGGAGCAGCGGCUGCAACUGAGUCCAGGACCUGGCCCUGGCCCUGUCCAGUCACCGGGACUGGGAGAAGCCAGGGGCACCGGGUCUGGGGGCUCUGCACAGCCCAUGCAGAUUCUCUCCCUGAGCUUCCUGCACCCUGACCGGCUCCAACAUCAGACCUGACUCAGGGCCGGACAAGGAAGCAGAGGGGCCCGGAAAUGCAGAAGUGGUAACACAGAGAUUAGAUCCUCUGUGAGGAGGCUCAACCCAGUCCCCACCAAGGGCCUCGCGCUGCUGCAGGUGACAUUUGUGCUGGAGAAAUGACCCUGAAGGACCAGGCCGCGCGGCUGCCUUCAGCUCUGCUCCUUCUUCUUGUCCCAGGCUCUCUGUCUCUGAGUGGUCCCAGAACCGUGACCGGCACCAUCGGGGGAUCCCUGAGUGUGCAAUGUCGGUAUGACGAGGAAUACAGAGAACAUAAAAAAUACUGGUGCUGAAACUCAAAGUGGCCACCGUGGAGGAAGAAGAUUGUGGAGACCACAGAGUCAGAGAGAGAAGUGAGCCGUGGCCGCGUGUCCAUCAGGGACCACCCUGCAAACCUCACCUUCACCGUGACCUUGGAGAGCCUCACAGAGGCUGACACAGGAACUUACUGCUGUGGGAUCGAUACACGGUGGUCUGAAGGAGUUUUACAUGACCCCACCUUCCAGGUUGAGGUGUCUGUGUUGCCAGCAGCCCCCACCCCGAAGAUCUUCACAAGCACCCCAGGUCCUCCCACAACCCUGCCAGCAACCACCAGGUCCAGCACAACAAGGCAAGAAACUGCAGAUCCCAGCCAACACCAUCGGUCCCUGCUCAGCAGCGUCCGCUUCCUGCUGCUGGUCUUCCUGGAGGUGCCCCUGCUCCUGAGCAUGCUCAGUGCUGUCCUCUGGGUGAACAGACCUCUGAGGGGCUGUGGGCAGAGGCGGAGUCAGCCUGAUUGUGAGAACCAGUAGCACCUGUUGGGUAUCGACGCCCCG
Long non-coding RNA from Equus quagga, 1168 nucleotides. RefSeq lists it as uncharacterized. Lineage: Eukaryota; Metazoa; Chordata; Mammalia; Perissodactyla; Equidae. The transcript is spliced from 4 exons. The record is from RefSeq and is a predicted model, not a curated record.